GAAAAGGAAAAGGAAAAGGAAAAGUGCAAUGGAUGCAGAAGAGAGAGGGGGGUGGUAGGGAAAACUAAAAACGCGUUGGGUCUUCAUGUCCGCGCCGUUGUUUUGCAAGAAAGGGAAAGAGAGAGGACAAAGAGUGGGGCCCCCAUGGGAAGAGAGCGAGGAUACAUGAAGAGAACUUAGACGCCUUUGAAACCAAAACGUCCUCCUCACACUCAAAAAGAUUUGUUUUAUCUUUCCCUUACUUUCUUU
Molecule: unclassified non-coding RNA, 249 nt
Filed under: Hevea brasiliensis (rubber tree)
Lineage: Eukaryota; Viridiplantae; Streptophyta; Magnoliopsida; Malpighiales; Euphorbiaceae
Source: RNAcentral